GCCGGGGUAGCUCAGCCAGGUGGAGCGCCCGGCUGUUAACCGGGCGGUCCCGGGUUCAAAUCCCGGCCCCGGCG
Molecule: transfer RNA, 74 nt
Filed under: Thermofilum sp. NZ13
Lineage: Archaea; Thermoproteati; Thermoproteota; Thermoprotei; Thermofilales; Thermofilaceae
Also listed under: 2 other names
Description: tRNA-Asn
Rfam family: tRNA
About the family: Transfer RNA (tRNA) molecules are approximately 80 nucleotides in length.
Source: RNAcentral